This 400-nucleotide long non-coding RNA is filed under the name Elaeis guineensis (African oil palm). Its description in RNAcentral is "long non-coding RNA (EGUI_LNC077553)". The record is from RNAcentral. Lineage: Eukaryota; Viridiplantae; Streptophyta; Magnoliopsida; Arecales; Arecaceae.
CUUCCAUAUCUAUUUCUAGAUUUCCCUCCUCCUCCUAUUCAUCAUAAUGUUAAAUCUAAAUAUGAAAGGCUAAAAAAUCCAGUGUUGUUAUGUUUCUCUUCCUAUAUCAAGGUUGUGAUGAAGUAAAUACUUAUCAUAGGAUUUUGAAAUUUCUGUUAUCAUUCUCCAAGCAAAAUCACUAAUUUCCUACUGCAUUUGCUUGUAGAAUCACUUUUAUAUUUCUCUUUGCUAAGCUUUCGGUUAGGUACAUACAGCUGGAAGUUUUAGCAAAUAGAUGAAUCGUGUUCCUGCAUUUGUGUGUCUUUAUCUAGUUACAAUGUCAACAAACUAUAAAAAGCUUCUGACUGUUAUUUAGGAUUUUCUGUAUAGCCUAUGAAUCACAGUACUUUCUUUGCAGAUG